Molecule: long non-coding RNA, 1187 nt
Filed under: Citrus maxima (pomelo)
Lineage: Eukaryota; Viridiplantae; Streptophyta; Magnoliopsida; Sapindales; Rutaceae
Description: long non-coding RNA (CMAX_LNC002061)
Source: RNAcentral
GGUAGAACUAUUAUAGCAUCCUUCAGUUUUUGACUGUCAGUUGUAACGGAUAGAUCUCUCUGAUUGACAUCCCCUGGGAUUUUCAUAAUUUGCAACCUGGGAAACACUGAAUAGCUCUUGUGUGACUUGUGAAGCAGUAACAUUUGGAGCUAGCUGUUAAUGAAGUGUGUGAAUAAGUGCUAUCGAUACUCUGCCAAAUCUAAUUUGAAUUCCUUGUCUAAUAUAUGCGUAAACAGUUGCAGCUAAGUGAAAGAUUGCUAUUCUUAGACCAAGUAUAUAAAUCAUUUUCGGAACACACCAAGAUGAUUAGGAUCAUUCAACAAUAAGGGGAUAGCAAACAUCAUCUUGUCUCGUCUUUGGAUGUUAUGCUUGUUUUUGUUCUUGCAUCUAAUAGGAUUUUCUGAUUCACACUUGUACCGCAUCAUAUGCAGGAGCCUCAUCAACUCCGUUUCUUACAUGAGCUAGUAGAUAGUCUAAACAAUCAAAUCCGUGGAUCUCAGGUAAGUAGUCCACCUAUUCUUAGUAGCUGGUUGGUUUUGGGUGUGCCGAAGGAUGGACUUUCGAAAGAAUGUAGUUUAUUGUAAUUAUGAAACUGUAUUUUCUAGGGUUGCUGUAUCCUCAAUUAAUGCAUUUUUUUGGCACUGCAAAAAUUGGGAACUGAAAGCUGAAAGUUGAUUUAGACCUAUAUGGAAGAAUUACUCCAUUAACCUGCUUGCUUUCCAGUUCCUUUUUCUGUAUUUACAAUGUUUCAUUUAUCUUCCAUAAAUCAUACAGCUUACCGUGAUGGCAUCUCACAUGUGUAUAUAGGCUGUGGUGUCUGAACUCUGGUAUGUUGAAGAGUACGAUGUAUUGGCCCUUGCCUUGGAUGGAAGAAUGAAGGUUCGCAAGUUCCCCCUGGAAUGUUCAAGCGUCUGAAAUUCCAAACAUCAGUAAAAUACAAAUUUGAUCAAGACUCUUCUCAAGACUACAACUCAUCAUCAAAUAUUUUGUUUUACUUUUUUGAAAACGAAAAUGAACUCUGGUCAUCUAAUGUAUGCUCAUGGUAAUAAGAUUCCCACGUUUCACGCUUUGUAAUUUGUAUGAUGUGUCUCAGUUAGUUACCUUUAUAUAUUUCUUUUAUUAAUCAUUUGUGCAAUAAAUUCCUGAAUGAAAUAAUUCUUUUUUUUUUUGGCACAAUAAUAUUUAAG